AUUGAACGCUGGCGGCAGGCCUAACACAUGCAAGUCGAGCGGAUGAAGGGAGCUUGCUCCUGGAUUCAGCGGCGGACGGGUGAGUAAUGCCUAGGAAUCAGCCUGGUAGUGGGGGAUAACGUCCGGAAACGGGCGCUAAUACCGCAUACGUCCUGAGGGAGAAAGUGGGGGAUCUUCGGACCUCACGCUAUCAGAUGAGCCUAGGUCGGAUUAGCUAGUUGGUGGGGUAAAGGCCUACCAAGGUGACGAUCCGUAACUGGUCUGAGAGGAUGAUCAGUCACACUGGAACUGAGACACGGUCCAGACUCCUACGGGAGGCAGCAGUGGGGAAUAUUGGACAAUGGGCGAAGGCCUGAUCCAGCCAUGCCGCGUGUGUGAAGAAGGUCUUCGGAUUGUAAAGCACUUUAAGUUGGGAGGAAGGGCAGUAAGUUAAUACCUUGCUGUUUUGACGUUACCAACAGAAUAAGCACCGGCUAACUUCGUGCCAGCAGCCGAC
RNAcentral lists this ribosomal RNA (496 nucleotides) under uncultured bacterium. RNAcentral describes it as "bacterial SSU rRNA". It matches the Rfam family "Bacterial small subunit ribosomal RNA", at positions 30 to 518 of the family's 1533-position model. The record is from RNAcentral.